Acanthochromis polyacanthus (spiny chromis) is the source of this 2312-nucleotide long non-coding RNA. RefSeq lists it as uncharacterized. The transcript has 2 exons. Lineage: Eukaryota; Metazoa; Chordata; Actinopteri; Pomacentridae. The record is from RefSeq and is a predicted model, not a curated record.
UUAAACUCAGAAUAGAUUGGGUUUUUUUAAUAAGUCUGUACACAUUGUCCAAAAGAUUGCACAAUGGGAUGCCAGCGACAGUUAGAGGCUGACAUCCGCUUUUCCAUUUCCUGAUCAGGAGCCUGUGCUGAGUUGCAGACAGGAGAGAUCAGGGGGGGCAAGAUGGGCUGUCUGGACAGUCCAAACAGAUGGUUUCAGUUCCUUAAAAGUGGAGGUGAUCAUGCGGUCAGUGUAUGGGGCAAGUGUGCGAGUUGGGAGGGGGUAAAGAUACAGUAAACUAUAAAUUACAUCUGAUCGAGAUGCAAGUUGGGAGAUUGUUGCGGGUAUCUGCCUGGGUGCAAUCCAGACAUCAGUCUGAGCACAGGGGAUGAUUACCACGUAACUCGGACAGGGAAUUCAACAUGAUCUGCAAAGGAAUAACUGUUCUGAUGGAAUUAUGGACCAAAGUACUGCGUUUCCUGCAGUGUUGGAGGAUUACUGAACUGUGAUCUGGAAAUAAUGCUGUCUGAAGGAACAUUACUGAACUCUAUUUUCCAUGUGAGGAAUACUGGACCAAACAACAAAAAUGGAUAUAUGCAGAUCUAAAUCUGGUCCGGACCCCCGUCCACUUCCCCCUGGGCCCCGGCGGGUCUCAGGUGAGCAGCCGGGUGUGGCCACACCGUGACUGCUCUCCCUCCAAAUUAUGUAAUCUGGGAUUGUGACACUGAUGAGACGUGGGCAAAAGUAUCUGUCAGGGUGCUGAUUGUUGUCAGUGAAGAUGAGCAAGUCGUUCCAAAUCAGCUCCACCUUCACCCAAUAUCUACUGCCAUCGUUGUUGAGGGAGGUAUUGUAAUGGACGAUGUCCAGAACCUGCCUGAGGCACUUUGCCUUUUGUUUGGAUUGUCAUACGCUUUACAUUUAGACGACCCAAAGGCCAUGAAAAACACUUUGGGCUUCAUUCAAAGAGUGAUGCUUGGCCUGGGAGAGAGCAAACUCCCUCCAAAAUUGCAAAGUCUUAAAAAUCUCUUGUUGAGUUAGAAUGCAAAUGCACAAGUGGAUUCAGUUGUUUCUUAUUGUUCACUGUAUUAAAGUCAGCCCACGGGUUCAUCAGCAAGUUAGAGGCUGUAGAUGUUCGUACAUUCAUUCACACAGGUGAGAUUGCCAGUCUUUACCCUCUCAGGUUUUUGUGUUAAAUACAGUGUUAUAAGGAGAAGAAAAAUAAAAGGCCAUUUAUGUUUGAACUUUCAGCAGUUAUUACCUUCAUUUAUUAUGUUUAAUUGUAAUUCGGAUUAUUUUAAGAAAUUGGAGCCUGUUUUUCAUUCCUUUAUGGAUAUUUUUGAACCACUUAAAUUGCUGAAGUUCAGUUUGCAUGGCUUUAGAAAAGAAGUCAGAUUACUGUCUAAGUAAAUAUAUAACUUAGAAAUGCUAAGUUAGUUCAACUUAGAUAAGUAUGUUAAAUGAACUGAGCAGUGUAAAUUUAACAUGCAAUUAUUUAGUAGAUUGAAAUAGUAAUUCUGAGUAGUCUUUACUAAGUCAAGCGUGUUCUAAAAUGAGUUAUCAAGUACAGUCUACUUGAUUGUUUUAGUUGCUUAAACUCAUUUGUAAGUGUACUCUACAAAGGAAGUGCUUGUUAGUACAACUAAAUUUAACUCGUUCUCUUUACUUGUUUUUUUUAAGUGCAACCGGUUUGCAUGCUUUUUUUAAGUAAUGAUAACUAAUUGGAUUUUACAGUGUAACAGGGUUAUGUAGUAUGCACUGCCAACAGUUUCUUUGGCCUGGUGUUACAGAAACAUCAAACUAGAAAGACAUUUUUGUCCCUUGCAGUGAAUGGAAGUGUGAUAAAGUACUGAUGUAUAAAGAUCAAUAUUAGGGGGGGUUUGCAUGUUUCAGUCAAUUGUGUACAAAUUGCAUGAGAAUUAGAUUACUAACAUUUUGGCGUUAUGAUGCUUGAUUGUAUUUUUCUAAUACACUGUGAUACUUACAAAUCUGUGCAUGUCUUUUCAGUGUGUUUCAGGGAGUGGCAGAAAAAACAGAAUGUGGAACAAGCAGAAUUGGAAGCCAGGGUGGGAAAGGCUGGAUGUUGCAUCUCCGAAAAAAUCAUGGACAUUAAUAGACAAAACAAAAAGGCCACUUAAGUGGUGAGUGUCUAAGUCCAAAACAUUUCCAGUUGUACAGUAUAUUGCAUUCUCAUGUUUUGGAUUUUCCUUGUUUAGGCCCAUAGAUGUAUUGUGUGUUUAUUUGUAAUCUUAGUCAUUCAUCUUAUUAAAUAAUAUUAUGUAAUAUAUUUCCUAAUGUUUGUUACCUUAUUGUUAUUAAACUACAUUGUCAUGAAA